CAUGGAGCCGACCUUGAAAUACCACCCUUUAAUGUUUGAUGUUCUAACGUUGGCCCGUAAUCCGGGUUGCGGACAGUGUCUGGUGGGUAGUUUGACUGGGGCGGUCUCCUCCUAAAGAGUAACGGAGGAGCACGAAGGUUGGCUAAUCCUGGUCGGACAUCAGGAGGUUAGUGCAAUGGCAUAAGCCAGCUUGACUGCGAGCGUGACGGCGCGAGCAGGUGCGAAAGCAGGUCAUAGUGAUCCGGUGGUUCUGAAUGGAAGGGCCAUCGCUCAACGGAUAAAAGGUACUCCGGGGAUAACAGGCUGAUACCGCCCAAGAGUUCAUAUCGACGGCGGUGUUUGGCACCUCGAUGUCGGCUCAUCACAUCCUGGGGCUGAAGUAGGUCCCAAGGGUAUGGCUGUUCGCCAUUUAAAGUGGUACGCGAGCUGGGUUUAGAACGUCGUGAGACAGUUCGGUCCCUAUCUGCCGUGGGCGCUGGAGAACUGAGGGGGGCUGCUCCUAGUACGAGAGGACCGGAGUGGACGCAUCACUGGUGUUCGGGUUGUCAUGCCAAUGGCACUGCCCGGUAGCUAAAUGCGGAAGAGAUAAGUGCUGAAAGCAUCUAAGCACGAAACUUGCCCCGAGAUGAGUUCUCCCUGAGACUUAGAGUCUCCUGAAGGAACGUUGAAGACGACGACGUUGAUAGGCCGGGUGUGUAAGCGCAGCGAUGCGUUGAGCUAACCGGUACUAAUGAACCGUGAGGCUUAACCUUACAACGCCGAAG
This 764-nucleotide ribosomal RNA is filed under the name Escherichia coli. Its description in RNAcentral is "partial 23S ribosomal RNA". It matches the Rfam family "Bacterial large subunit ribosomal RNA", at positions 2179 to 2925 of the family's 2925-position model. The record is from RNAcentral. Lineage: Bacteria; Pseudomonadati; Pseudomonadota; Gammaproteobacteria; Enterobacterales; Enterobacteriaceae.